This 526-nucleotide ribosomal RNA is filed under the name uncultured bacterium. RNAcentral's name for it is "bacterial SSU rRNA". It matches the Rfam family "Bacterial small subunit ribosomal RNA", at positions 777 to 1301 of the family's 1533-position model. The record is from RNAcentral.
AAUAGAUACCCAGGUAGUCCACGCCGUAAACGAUGAGUGCUAAGUGUUAGAGGGUUUCCGCCCUUUAGUGCUGCAGCUAACGCAUUAAGCACUCCGCCCGGGGAGUACGGUCGCAAGACUGAAACUCAAAGGAAUUGACGGGGGCCCGCACAAGCGGUGGAGCAUGUGGUUUAAUUCGAAGCAACGCGAAGAACCUUACCAGGUCUUGACAUCCUCUGACAACUCUAGAGAUAGAGCGUUCCCCUUCGGGGGACAGAGUGACAGGUGGUGCAUGGUUGUCGUCAGCUCGUGUCGUGAGAUGUUGGGUUAAGUCCCGCAACGAGCGCAACCCUUGAUCUUAGUUGCCAGCAUUCAGUUGGGCACUCUAAGGUGACUGCCGGUGACAAACCGGAGGAAGGUGGGGAUGACGUCAAAUCAUCAUGCCCCUUAUGACCUGGGCUACACACGUGCUACAAUGGAUGGUACAAAGGGCUGCAAGACCGCGAGGUCAAGCCAAUCCCAUAAAACCAUUCUCAGUUCGGAUUGU